This 468-nucleotide ribosomal RNA is filed under the name uncultured bacterium. Its description in RNAcentral is "partial 16S ribosomal RNA". It matches the Rfam family "Bacterial small subunit ribosomal RNA", at positions 28 to 507 of the family's 1533-position model. The record is from RNAcentral.
GACGAACGCUGGCGGCGUGCUUAACACAUGCAAGUCGAAUGGAAAGGCCCUGCUUUUGUGGGGCGCUCGAGUGGCGAACGGGUGAGUAACACGUGAGUAACCUGCCCUUGACUUUGGGAUAACUUCAGGAAACUGGGGCUAAUACCGGAUAGGAGCUCCUGCUGCAUGGUGGGGGUUGGAAAGUUUCGGCGGUUGGGGAUGGACUCGCGGCUUAUCAGCUUGUUGGUGGGGUAGUGGCUUACCAAGGCUUUGACGGGUAGCCGGCCUGAGAGGGUGACCGGCCACAUUGGGACUGAGAUACGGCCCAGACUCCUACGGGAGGCAGCAGUGGGGAAUAUUGCACAAUGGGCGGAAGCCUGAUGCAGCAACGCCGCGUGCGGGAUGACGGCCUUCGGGUUGUAAACCGCUUUCGCCUGUGACGAAGCGUGAGUGACGGUAAUGGGUAAAGAAGCACCGGCUAACUACGUG